CACCGCCCGUCACACCAUGGGAGUUUGUUGCACCAGAAGCAGGUAGCUUAACCUUCGGGAGGGCGCUUGCCACGGUGUGGCUGAUGACUGGGGUG
This 95-nucleotide ribosomal RNA is filed under the name uncultured bacterium. RNAcentral describes it as "partial 16S ribosomal RNA". It matches the Rfam family "Bacterial small subunit ribosomal RNA", at positions 1388 to 1482 of the family's 1533-position model. The record is from RNAcentral.